RNAcentral lists this ribosomal RNA (469 nucleotides) under Undibacterium sp. Its description in RNAcentral is "bacterial SSU rRNA". It matches the Rfam family "Bacterial small subunit ribosomal RNA", at positions 396 to 857 of the family's 1533-position model. The record is from RNAcentral. Lineage: Bacteria; Pseudomonadati; Pseudomonadota; Betaproteobacteria; Burkholderiales; Oxalobacteraceae.
GCCGCGUGAGUGAAGAAGGCCUUCGGGUUGUAAAGCUCUUNUUGUCAGGGAAGAAACGGUGGUUCCUAAUACGGACUACUAAUGACGGUACCUGAAGAAUAAGCACCGGCUAACUACGUGCCAGCAGCCGCGGUAAUACGUAGGGUGCAAGCGUUAAUCGGAAUUACUGGGCGUAAAGCGUGCGCAGGCGGUUAUAUAAGUCAGAUGUGAAAUCCCCGGGCUCAACCUGGGAACUGCAUUUGAGACUGUAUGGCUAGAGUGUGUCAGAGGGGGGUAGAAUUCCACGUGUAGCAGUGAAAUGCGUAGAUAUGUGGAGGAAUACCGAUGGCGAAGGCAGCCCCCUGGGAUAACACUGACGCUCAUGCACGAAAGCGUGGGGAGCAAACAGGAUUAGAUACCCUGGUAGUCCACGCCCUAAACGAUGUCUACUAGUUGUUGGGUCUUAAUUGACUUAGUAACGCAGCUAACG